Molecule: ribosomal RNA, 301 nt
Filed under: uncultured bacterium
Lineage: Bacteria
Description: partial 16S ribosomal RNA
Rfam family: Bacterial small subunit ribosomal RNA
Source: RNAcentral
CAGUAGCCACGGGAAUACGAAGGGGGCUAGCGUUGCUCGGAAUUACUGGGCGUAAAGGGAGCGUAGGCGGGUUAUCAAGUUGGAGGUGAAAGCCCAGGGCUCAACCUUGGAAUUGCCUUCAAAACUGAUAGCCUAGGGUAUGAUAGAGGUAAGUGGAACUCCGAGUGUAGAGGUGAAAUUCGUAGAUAUUCGGAAGAACACCAGUGGCGAAGGCGACUUACUGGAUCAUGACUGACGCUGAGGCUCGAAAGCGUGGGGAGCAAACAGGAUUAGAUACCCCAGUAGUCCCUGUCUCUUAUAC